This 308-nucleotide long non-coding RNA is filed under the name Sus scrofa (pig). RNAcentral describes it as "lncRNA (ENSSSCG00050045271.1)". Lineage: Eukaryota; Metazoa; Chordata; Mammalia; Artiodactyla; Suidae. The record is from RNAcentral.
GUGAUGGAAUAUCACUCUUCUGAAUAACUUAUGCCAAAUAAGUCUCCAUCUUGAUAGCAGAAUCACUCUAAAGUCUUUUUUUUUUAUCCUUAGUGGCUUUGAAGAAGCAAGCUGCAAUAAAUCCUAUAGCUUCAAGAAAAUCAAUUCUCCUGACAAGUCAACUGCAAUUUUUUUUCCUGUUUUACUGCAAAUGUGGAUUUUACUCCCACCUCUACGGGCCUUCAAGAUGUGAGAAAAAGAAUGCAUACAUAUGUGUAACCGGGUCACUUUUCUGUAAGUAGAAAUUGAUAGAACACUGCAUACCAACU